Molecule: long non-coding RNA, 983 nt
Organism: Oncorhynchus tshawytscha (Chinook salmon)
Lineage: Eukaryota; Metazoa; Chordata; Actinopteri; Salmoniformes; Salmonidae
Exons: 4
Source: RefSeq, a predicted model, not a curated record
CAGGAAAGGUUUGGACAGGGUUGGAGGGGUUCAAUAUCAGGACCUGUCAUUGUACAAUACAAUGCAACCGACAUCAUGUAGGUGUUUACAGGCCUCAGGUGUAGGUGCAAAAUAUGUCAAGAUGAUCUUCUUGUCCUGCAGUGAGUAUACACAUCUUUGUCACCUCGUCCCUACCCACCAAGACAAGACAAGACCAGUCAAAACCGAACAGAACAGGGUGAGGGUCCACACCAUACGUCUCCAGCUCCUGGGCCUUCUGCAGGAAGUUCAGCUCGGACUCUUCUGGAGUCUGUCCUCUGGGAGAUGAGGACACAACAGACAGAUUACUGUGGGCUGUGUGGUGAUGGAUGGAAAAGGUUCCAGCGGUAAGCUAAUGAUUUCUAAAGUGAAUUUCCUUUCAUUCAUUUCAGUGAGUGAAAGAUGAGAGAGACCAACACUAGAGGGCAGCAGAGGUAAGAUCCCAUAGGUGGUCUACAGUAGUAGAGUCUGUAUAUAUGGAUACUGCAUAUACUGUGAAGGGGGAGGGGAGAGAGAGAGAGAGAGCCUCUUGAGGGUGAUGUGAUGUUCAGCUGACUGGCAGAGUUGUCCCAGGAUGCCACAAACUAAUGACACAGCAGUACAGUACUGAGAAAUACACACGCACACUCUUAAGGUCACUGCUGUCCCUUCAUCCACUAUCCAUAAGCAGGAAGAGUUGGACAAAUAGCAGCUAGGAAAAUAUUGUAUAUUCAGCAUAUGAUGUGGAUAUGAAAUUGCAUAUCUACGGCUAAGCUAGGGUCAUGCAUAAUGUAUCUCAUAAAUAUAUCUAUUUUCAUCAUGGCUGUAACAUUCUAUCUAGGAGAGAUAGGAUGAUCUUGUAUCAAGUUAGGUCCACAAUCAUCAUGCUGAUGAUGACACUAUAUUCAAUUAUCAUAAUCACCUGGUAUAUAUAUAUAUAUAUAUAAAUGUGUGAGUGUGUGAGUGAGUGUGAGUGAGUGAGUGAG